This 73-nucleotide transfer RNA is filed under the name Treponema sp. Its description in RNAcentral is "tRNA-Pro". It matches the Rfam family "tRNA". Rfam says of the family: Transfer RNA (tRNA) molecules are approximately 80 nucleotides in length. Their secondary structure includes four short double-helical elements and three loops (D, anti-codon, and T loops). Further hydrogen bonds mediate the characteristic L-shaped molecular structure. tRNAs have two regions of fundamental functional importance: the anti-codon, which is responsible for specific mRNA codon recognition, and the 3' end, to which the tRNAs corresponding amino acid is attached (by aminoacyl-tRNA synthetases). tRNAs cope with the degeneracy of the genetic code in two manners: having more than one tRNA (with a specific anti-codon) for a particular amino acid; and 'wobble' base-pairing, i.e. permitting non-standard base-pairing at the 3rd anti-codon position. Lineage: Bacteria; Pseudomonadati; Spirochaetota; Spirochaetia; Treponematales; Treponemataceae. The record is from RNAcentral.
CGGGCGGUAGGAUAGUGGCUAUUCCGCUGGGUUCGGGACUCAGAGAUCGCGGGUUCAACUCCCGCUCGCCCGA